UACGUCGGGUGCAAGCGUUGUCCGGAAUUAUUGGGCGUAAAGAGCUCGUAGGCGGUCUGUCGCGUCGGAUGUGAAAACCCAGGGCUCAACCCUGGGCCUGCAUUCGAUACGGGCAGACUAGAGUUCGGUAGGGGAGACUGGAAUUCCUGGUGUAGCGGUGAAAUGCGCAGAUAUCAGGAGGAACACCGGUGGCGAAGGCGGGUCUCUGGGCCGAAACUGACGCUGAGGAGCGAAAGCGUGGGGAGCAAACAGG
Molecule: ribosomal RNA, 253 nt
Filed under: uncultured bacterium
Lineage: Bacteria
Description: partial 16S ribosomal RNA
Rfam family: Bacterial small subunit ribosomal RNA
Source: RNAcentral